This 297-nucleotide ribosomal RNA is filed under the name Clavispora lusitaniae. RNAcentral describes it as "partial 26S ribosomal RNA". It matches the Rfam family "Eukaryotic large subunit ribosomal RNA", at positions 248 to 549 of the family's 3401-position model. Lineage: Eukaryota; Fungi; Ascomycota; Pichiomycetes; Serinales; Metschnikowiaceae. The record is from RNAcentral.
ACCGCGGCUCCGACGAGUCGAGUUGUUUGGGAAUGCAGCUCUAAGUGGGUGGUAAAUUCCAUCUAAAGCUAAAUAUUGGCGAGAGACCGAUAGCGAACAAGUACAGUGAUGGAAAGAUGAAAAGCACUUUGAAAAGAGAGUGAAACAGCACGUGAAAUUGUUGAAAGGGAAGGGCUUGCAAGCAGACACGGUUUUACCGGGCCAGCGUCGAAAAGGGGGGAGGAACAAGAACUCGAGAAUGUGGCGCGCACCUUCGGGCGCGCGUGUUAUAGCUCGUGUUGACGCCUCCAUCCCUUU